UGGCCUACGGGGCGCAGCAGUGGGGAAUUUUGCGCAAUGGGGGAAACCCUGACGCAGCAACGCCGCGUGCGGGACGAAGGCCCUCGGGUUGUAAACCGCUUUCAGCAGGGAAGAUCCAAGACGGUACCUGCAGAAGAAGCUCCGGCUAACUACGUGCCAACAGCCGCGGUAAUACGUAGGGGGCGAGCGUUAUCCGGAUUCAUUGGGCGUAAAGCGAGCGUAGGCGGCCGCCGAAGAGGGAACUCUAACCACGGGGC
RNAcentral lists this ribosomal RNA (257 nucleotides) under uncultured bacterium. Its description in RNAcentral is "partial 16S ribosomal RNA". It matches the Rfam family "Bacterial small subunit ribosomal RNA", at positions 335 to 608 of the family's 1533-position model. The record is from RNAcentral.